AUUGAACGCUGGCGGCAGGCUUUACACAUGCAAGUCGAACGGCAGCGCGGUAUUAGCUUUGGCGGAGGGUUGGGGAGGGGCGGGUAGGGGAGGGAAACGUGCGCAGCUACGGGUGCUAGGGGGGUGACGGAGGGAUUCUUACCCCAAUCGCCCAGAGGGCGUACGGGGGGGACCGAGGGGUCUUGCGACAUUGGGGGAGUCGAUGUCGGAUUAGCUAGUUGGUGGGGUAAAGGGGUACCAAGGCGACGAUCCGUAGCUGGUCUGAGAGGACGAGCAGCCACACUGGGACUGAGACACGGCCCAGACUCCUACGGGAGGCAGCAGUGGGGAAUUUUGGACAAUGGGGGCAACCCUGAUCCAGCCAUGCCGCGUGCGGGAAGAAGGCCUUCGGGUUGUAAACCGCUUUUGUUCGGGAAGAAAAGCAGUGGGCUAAUACCCCGGGGUGAUGACGGUACCGGAAGAAUAAGCACCGGCUAACUUCGUG
This 484-nucleotide ribosomal RNA is filed under the name uncultured bacterium. RNAcentral describes it as "partial 16S ribosomal RNA". It matches the Rfam family "Bacterial small subunit ribosomal RNA", at positions 28 to 507 of the family's 1533-position model. The record is from RNAcentral.